AUUACCGCGGCUGCUGGCACGAAGUUAGCCGGAGCUUCUUCUACGGGUACCGUCAUUAUCGUCCCCGUCGAAAGAGUUUUACAACCCGAAGGCCUUCAUCACUCACGCGGCAUGGCUGGAUCAGGGUUUCCCCCAUUGUCCAAAAUUCCAAACUGCUGCCUCCCGUAGG
Molecule: ribosomal RNA, 169 nt
Filed under: uncultured alpha proteobacterium GT23-1
Lineage: Bacteria; Pseudomonadati; Pseudomonadota; Alphaproteobacteria
Description: partial 16S ribosomal RNA
Source: RNAcentral